UACGUAGGGACCAAGCGUUGUUCGGAUUUACUGGGCGUAAAGGGCGCGUAGGCGGCGUGGUAAGUCACUUGUGAAAUCUCCGAGCUUAACUCGGAACGGUCAAGUGAUACUGCUGUGCUAGAGUACAGAAGGGGCAAUCGGAAUUCUUGGUGUAGCGGUGAAAUGCGUAGAUAUCAAGAGGAACACCUGAGGUGAAGACGGGUUGCUGGGCUGAUACUGACGCUGAGGCGCGAAAAGCUAGGGUAGCAAACGGG
This 254-nucleotide ribosomal RNA is filed under the name uncultured bacterium. Its description in RNAcentral is "partial 16S ribosomal RNA". It matches the Rfam family "Bacterial small subunit ribosomal RNA", at positions 524 to 776 of the family's 1533-position model. The record is from RNAcentral.